AUUGAACGCUGGCGGCAUGCCUUACACAUGCAAGUCGAACGGCAGCAUGGAGAGCUUGCUCUCUGAUGGCGAGUGGCGAACGGGUGAGUAAUGCAUCGGAACGUACCGUGUAAUGGGGGAUAACGUAGCGAAAGUUACGCUAAUACCGCAUACGACCUGAGGGUGAAAGCAGGGGAUCGCAAGACCUUGCGUUAUACGAGCGGCCGAUGUCAGAUUAGCUAGUUGGUGAGGGAAGGGCUCACCAACGCGACGAUCUGUAGCGGGUCUGAGAGGAUGAUCCGCCACACUGGGACUGAGACACGGCCCAGACUCCUACGGAAGGCAGCAGUGGGGAAUUUUGGACAAUGGGGGCAACCCUGAUCCAGCCAUGCCGCGUGAGUGAAGAAGGCCUUCGGGUUGUAAAGCUCUUUCGGCCGGGAAGAAAUCGCACAGGCUAAUACUCUGUGUGGAUGACGGUACCGGCAUAAGAAGCACCGGCUAACUACGUGCCAGCCGCCGCAGUAA
RNAcentral lists this ribosomal RNA (504 nucleotides) under uncultured bacterium. RNAcentral describes it as "partial 16S ribosomal RNA". It matches the Rfam family "Bacterial small subunit ribosomal RNA", at positions 30 to 523 of the family's 1533-position model. The record is from RNAcentral.